GGCCGGAUGGCGAAAUGGUAUCGCGUCAGAUUUCGGCGAGCUUCUGCUCACAAAACCGUAAUCAUAUCUCUGAAGAUUGUGGGUUCGAAUCCCAUUUCGGUCG
Non-coding RNA from Neopestalotiopsis sp. 37M, 103 nucleotides. The record is from the annotation of a GenBank genome assembly. Lineage: Eukaryota; Fungi; Ascomycota; Sordariomycetes; Amphisphaeriales; Sporocadaceae.